GAAAUGCGAUAAGUAGUGUGAAUUGCAGAAUUCAGUGAAUCAUCGAAUCUUUGAACGCACAUUGCGCCCCUUGGUAUUCCAUGGGGCAUGCCUGUUCGAGCGUCAUCUACACCCUCAAGCUCUGCUUGGUGUUGGGCGUCUUUGUCCCGCCUCCGCGCGCGGACUCGCCCCAAAUUCCUUGGCAGCGGUCCUUGCCUCCUCUCGCGCAGCACAUUGCGCUUCUCGAGGUGUUGCGGCCCGCGUCCAGAAAGCAAUCGUUACCGUCUUUGACCUCGGAUCAGGUAGGGAUACCCGCUGAACUUAAGC
RNAcentral lists this unclassified non-coding RNA (306 nucleotides) under plant metagenome. RNAcentral's name for it is "partial contains 5.8S ribosomal RNA, internal transcribed spacer 2, and large subunit ribosomal RNA". The stretch from base 1 to 105 matches the Rfam family "5.8S ribosomal RNA", at positions 50 to 154 of the family's 154-position model. The record is from RNAcentral.